RNAcentral lists this ribosomal RNA (482 nucleotides) under uncultured bacterium. RNAcentral describes it as "bacterial SSU rRNA". It matches the Rfam family "Bacterial small subunit ribosomal RNA", at positions 1 to 507 of the family's 1533-position model. The record is from RNAcentral.
CAGUAGUCACGAGUUUGAUCCUGGCUCAGAUUGAACGCUGGCGGAAUGCUUACACAUGCAAGUCGAACGGUAGAGGGGGCAACCCUUGAGAGUGGCGAACGGGUGAGUAAUAUAUCGGAACGUGCCCAGUCGUGGGGGAUAACGUAGCGAAAGUUACGCUAAUACCGCAUACGAUCUAAGGAUGAAAGCGGGGGAUCGCAAGACCUCGCGCGAUUGGAGCGGCCGAUAUCAGAUUAGGUAGUUGGUGAGGUAAAGGCUCACCAAGCCAACGAUCUGUAGCUGGUCUGAGAGGACGACCAGCCACACUGGAACUGAGACACGGUCCAGACUCCUACGGGAGGCAGCAGUGGGGAAUUUUGGACAAUGGACGCAAGUCUGAUCCAGCCAUUCCGCGUGCAGGAUGAAGGCCCUCGGGUUGUAAAGCUCUUUUACUCGGGACGAUAAUGACGGUACCGGGAGAAUAAGCCCCGGCUAACUCCGUG